AUAAUAAUGGCUAUUAUUUAUUAAGCAUUUGCUAUGUGCCUUGCUCUGAGCUAAAUGUUUAACAUACAUUCUUUUGUUUAAUGCUCACAAUACUUAUGUGGAAUAAUUUUUUUCAAAUGGGGAAACAGAUUUAAAAUUGGAAAAUAAUUGCUUAAAUUCCCAUGAAUAAUAAUAAGUUCAUCUGAGCACAGGUGUGUCCCAUGUCCGACUCUUAGCUCUGUCACCUCCUGUCCCAAACAAUGUCACUGGUUUGAGCCCACAGUUACUUACACCUGCGUAACAAGACCAUAAAUAAGAAUAUCUUGAAAUAUACAACAGCAGGCAAUCUGGGGGGCUUGUGUAAGCAAUUCUGCAAAUACUUGGAGUGAAGAGGCAGUAGUCAUUGGUGGCAUCAUGCCACAGGUAAGCAUUUAAAUGUUAGAGAUGCUUUCAUUUGAUUGGUAAAGCAAUAUUCUCAAACUUGAUCUCAUACACCAUGCUAAUACAUCUCUAGAUCAGUAUACCUGUAGGUCAGUGGCACAGAUGUCCAAAGUGUGCUUUAAUAAAAUGCAAACACUGAGUGUAUUUUUGAGGCUGGAGUUGUGUAUUCCUCUUUGUGAGAAAAGCAGGAAUUUUUUUUCUCAUUAGUGCUUGAGGCAAGCUUGAAAUACAAGUUAAUAGGACUCAAAAUUAUCUCCAUCUAAUGUUUUUAAAGGCAAUCUUCUUUAACGUAAUCAGAGGAAAAUAGUAUACUUCGGAGACCAAAAAAAAGUGGCAUAUCUUAGAUCAAAGGUUUUUCCUGGUGAUUGUGUUUGAUUAUCUUUUAAAAAUAUGCAUAAGAGUUUCUAGAAUGCAGCAAUUGGAUUUUUUACUUUCUAUACUUCUAAUUCUGACUUUUAUAUCAUAAGACAAUUGGUGUGUCUGUUUAUAAUGAUGGUAAUCCAGAAGGGCGAGACUAUAUUUUCUUAAUUUUUCAUGAAUACAUUUAUUUCUAGAACUGUAACUAAGGUUUUUCAAUAGCUUCACUGAGAACACAGCAUGCUGCUGGCUGGUCCCCAAGUUUCUGGUGCCUUCUCAGUCUCAUUUAUGAGAAGAUAAAAUGAGAAGUCCUACGCACCCAAGCAUAUGAUCCUGGUGUAUGUGUGCUUUGAAGAACAGCAAAAGUCCAGGAAAGAACAUGACCCCAGAGUUGAAGGCAGUAAAGAGUCGGUCAACAUCUGUCCUAGGGAAGAAUGACUGGAUUUCCCUGUGCUAGAAUUUCUAUAGAAGGGGUCCACCUGGAGAACAUGCUCACCCUCUCCCAUGGAACCUUUGAUUCUGUGGCAGUGCCCUGUGUGUAUGGGCCACUCUUCACUGCCACUCCAACAAGCAGCAAGGUUUCCAGGGCAGCAGAUUGCUUCUAGCAAACACCACUAACACCUUCCCAGGACUCCAACAACCAGCAGGUGAAACAUCACUUGCUGCUGCUGCUGCUGUCCCCAUUGUCCUUGCUGUGGUUCAUCUGGGGUGAGCAGCAAUCUACUUAGGAAGUUUGUUUUUGUCUCACUGUAUGAAAUUCUCACCAGAAUCCCUUGUCUAUUGUUAGCUACACACCCUGGUGGGUCCUUAGAGCACUGGUUUCUGACAAUAUAAUAAUGUGAUUAAACCUAUUUGACCCUCUUCUCAGAAAAAAUCAAUACGGAUAUAUACACAUGCAAUAAAAAUUUGCAGCUAAUGUUAGGAAGUUUAAAAUCCACUGAAGCUUGAAUGAUUCUAAAGAUUUCUGCACUACAAAAAUUUGGGAAAUAAAAUUUAACCCCCUACAAACACUUUUGGAAAUUUUUUUCUAAGGCGUUUGUUUGGACUAACAGAUUUCAAUAAGCUGGUUGCUACUUAUGUGUCUAUCUUCACUCCCAACAUUGUCUUGAGGGUGUUAGAACCACCUUCUGUUAAGAAUUACAUCUGUGAGCAAUGCACAACUAUUGAAAUAUUGACUAUGGUUGCCGUCAUACAUGUUAUAUUGCUCACAACAUUGAUUUGACUUUGGAACAUGUUUGUGUCCCAGGGAACAGGUCUAUGCCUCCUUUGGCUUUGGCUUUCUGCAGCCAAAUCUCCAUGGCCAUAGGGUUUUCAGGCCUCUGCUUAUAUCCUUAAGAUAGUCUCAGGCUGAGAGCCAAAAACUUUGUGGGGGAAAGUUAGGUCAUUAACUAGCAGGAGUUUUGAAAACAGUUCUCCCAACCUAAGAAAGUGUGAUUAUAAAUACUAUUCUAGAACAGUUUACAUGCCUGCAUCCUGAUAGAGAUUAGGCCUUUGUGUGUUUUUAAGACUACAGUCUCACUUAAUGAUAUAUUUGUUUUUAAUAAAACUCGGUAAAUAUAUUAUCUCAGCAUCUCCAGAGGAUAUUAUUUUAUAAUUUGCUGCAUUUGGAUUCUAAAUAUUCUUCUUAUUGUCCAGAAGAACAACAACAAAGAAAACUUUUAUUAGCAGAGAGAAAAUAAGACGGAUAAUCCUUGCCUUCCUGGAGGUUCUGUAAGUCAGACUGGCCUGCCCUGUGAGGACAGCAUUCUUUCCUCUUUAUCUUCUUUAAUGACUGCUCUGCUAAUCACACCUGACUCCUGUUAUCAAUCCUGUGGUUGUAUCUUUUCAGGGUUUUUACUGUGGUCAGAGGUUUCCAGAUACUCUAUUAUUAUUAUGAAAAAGAAGCAUUGUCAUUAUCGGACCUAACUUGGGACACAGAACAAUGAACAAUUUUUCAAAAGGAAGGAAUCUAGCAGAUAUUCAGCUCUUGUAUCUUUUUACUUUGCAUCCUGAGAAAAGGCAUCUACCUCGGUGACAGGAAUUCAAGGGAAAAAAAAAAAAACCCUGAAAAACAGACACAGAGUCUUUGGGACACUGAGAGGUUGGCCACUGUGUGUCUUCAGUCAUGCUUUGCAUUAUGCCACACCAGGACUCUUGCGUCCUUCUGGAUCCAUUUGGAUGUCACGUAAUUAUUUGCAAGGAUCAAGGUUGUCACACAUGGGCUAUUCACUUGGAAUCUUUUGAAGAGCAGAGCAAUAUUGCAUUGUAGACUUCAUGGCAAAUAUUUUUCAAAAGCAAUGUGUAGGUUCAUCUGUGCUUAUAUAUCCGACACUUUAUUCACAUAUGGGUUGAGAGCUUGUAUACUACGUUAAAUAUGAAUUACAUGAGGGAUAUAUUCAAGGUACUUGAGAAGCUUGCUCUGCUGCUGUCUAAUAAAAGGCCACUCCUGACUUCUUAUGCAGGACAGUGUAGAUGUGGCUUUCUAUGAAACAGCAUGUAGGUAUUGCCAUGUCUGUGUGAAUAUCAGCCAUUGCUACAACCAGGAAGUUCAUAAGCACAUGCGCUUUCUGUAGGAGAUUCAGCUUUGAGCUCUUUUCUCUGCAUUAAUCACAACCUUCUCUGGGCUUUCACAGCACUUGACACACAUACUAAUACUGCAACAGUUAACAGUUUCUUAGUGAUUAUCACUUUUUACACAGCGACUCUCUCACCCUCCUGCUGGAAUGAAAGCUACUGCAGGGCAGAAACCAACUUAUUUAUGUCUGCAUUUUCAGAGCUCAGCACAUGGCAUGCCACCCCCCCCCCAUUCCAUGUCCUCAAUAAAUGUUUACGGAAUGAAUUAACACAGAAACGGAAAACCAAAUAUCACAUGUUCUCAUUUAUAUAUGGGAGCUAAGCAUUGAAUACAUAGGGCAUAAAUAGGGCAACAGUAGACACUGGGAACUCCAAAAGAAAGGAGGGAUGGAG
This 3723-nucleotide long non-coding RNA is filed under the name Homo sapiens (human). RNAcentral describes it as "HSALNT0161523". Lineage: Eukaryota; Metazoa; Chordata; Mammalia; Primates; Hominidae. The record is from RNAcentral.